GGCGCAGACAUGGCUGCGCUGGUGGAGCCGCUGGGGCUGGAGCGGGAAGUGUCCCGGGCGGUGGAGCUCCUUGAGCGGCUCCAGCGCAGCGGGGAGCUGCCCCCGCAGAAGCUGCAAGCCCUCCAGCGAGUCCUGCAGAGCCGCUUCUGCUCUGCCAUCCGGGAGGUGUAUGAGCAGCUCUACGACACGCUGGACAUCACCGGCAGUGCUGAGAUCCGGGCCCACGCCACGGCCAAGGCCACGGUGGCCGCCUUCACAGCCAGUGAGGGCCACGCACAUCCCAGGGUAGUGGAACUGCCGAAGACAGACGAGGGCCUGGGCUUCAACAUCAUGGGGGGCAAGGAGCAGAAUUCGCCUAUCUAUAUCUCCCGUGUCAUCCCCGGGGGCGUAGCUGACCGCCACGGAGGCCUGAAGCGUGGGGACCAGCUGCUGUCAGUGAAUGGUGUGAGCGUUGAGGGCGAGCAGCAUGAGAAGGCAGUGGAACUUCUGAAGGCUGCCCAGGGCUCAGUGAAGCUGGUGGUACGCUACACACCUCGGGUGCUGGAGGAGAUGGAAGCCCGCUUUGAGAAGAUGCGCUCCGCCCGGCGGCGCCAGCAACAUCAGAGCUACUCGUGAGCCCUUUGCCACCACACCCCUGGGGCUCCUCUGCCUCCCUCAUCCCCAGACUCCCAGACCAGGCCGGUCCUUGGAGUCUCGAGGCUGAAACCACAGAUCUGGACCCUCACCCCCUCCCCUGUACAGUAUUUAUUGUCACCAACUCCUUAUUUAAAGAUCUUUGACCCU
Molecule: RNA transcript, 783 nt
Organism: Odocoileus virginianus texanus
Lineage: Eukaryota; Metazoa; Chordata; Mammalia; Artiodactyla; Cervidae
Gene: LIN7B
Gene name: lin-7 homolog B, crumbs cell polarity complex component
Source: RefSeq, a predicted model, not a curated record